Camellia sinensis is the source of this 1511-nucleotide non-coding RNA. The record is from RefSeq and is a predicted model, not a curated record. Lineage: Eukaryota; Viridiplantae; Streptophyta; Magnoliopsida; Ericales; Theaceae.
UGGUGCCCUCCCCGGUAUCUCUCUCUCUCUCUCUCUCUCUCUCUCUUAUAUACACACAAUCAAUCACCGCCAAAUCUCACCUCACCUCACUACACCACAGGCGCUUACCACCGGGAAGCAUUCGACGUCGCACAUUGCCAUCGCCACCGUCACAAAUCGCCAUCGUUGCAAAUCACUACCGCCACUGCCGCAAUACCAGGUUAUAUCUCACUCUUUCUCUUAGUCUCACGCUCUCUCUCGUUCUCGUUCUCGAGCUUGCCGUGUCCCCAAAUCGUAUAAAACUUGCCCUAUCACCUUUCACUCUUAUUUCCCAAAUCUGUCUCGAUCUCGCUCUCUCUCUCUCUCUCUCUAUCGAUUUUGCUCUCGAUAUUCCUCUCUUGAUUUCGCUCUGUUUCUCGCUCUAUAAAUUGCCAUGGUCGUCUGAAUAAGAGACCUCCAACGGUACGAACUCCCUCAAUUUCUUUAUCUGGUCUUUGGAUUCAUGAAUGGGAUGCUCACUGUUGGUGAGCAUGGCUUCUUUCAUUUGCUUGACAAUUUUGCCAAUAAUAUUUUAUACAAGGAAAACCAUCAAAGGCAGUUGUGGAUAUCCAGUAUUCAAUGUUGCAACAAAAUUUGUCUAUAGCUAAUCCAAAAAAGGGAUUAAAGUCAAACCUGGCUCACCAUACACUUGCCAACUUGAUCAGGGAGUAAAGCUUCACAUAUCUCAGGCAACACUAGGCCUUGGUUCAUCUACAAGGAGAAACAUACUUAAAGGUGCUCCAAAAGAUAAGUGUGCAGUGUUCCUGUGUUCACUAAUGGUAGGGAACAAGUGCUCAUGCAAGUUGAAUUUGGAGUUAACUAGUAAUGAUGAAGUAACCUUCUCAGUUGUGGGCCCUCAAAGCAUUCAUCUCGUUGGUUUCCUCACCAGUGAUGUUGAUUCAAGAAUCAAAAUCCAGUAAAAUAUAGAAGUUUGAGCCCCCAAUCAUAUACAUUGUGGUGUACAGAAAAAAGAGUAGUGAAAACUCAAUGGCUCUGGCAUUGUGGAGUAGCUUAAAGGGCAGCAUGGUAUAUUGAGAGACUGUAUUGAAUAGCUAACGGCAGUUGAAUCAUCAAGAACAAAUCUUGUGUCUUAUCUGAGAGAGGCUCUUCGGGAGCAGGAAUUCAAAUUGGAUCAAAUCAUCAAUCAACUUCAGAAUCGUUCCUAGCUGCUACACAUGAACUUCAGCGUAUAUAUGGAAAGGAUGAAGGGAAACAAUUGUUGUAAAGUUGCCUUGUUCAAAUAUAAAGAUGGCUUUUGGCGUGGACUUGUGGAUAGUCUACAUUUUUUUUUAUGGAGGACACUUACACUUUUGUAUAAUCCUGCUAACUAUGUCUUCCUCUGCUUUUGUGAAAGUAUUUUUUGUAUAUAGAGGGCUUUGAUUUUUGUAUGAUUCUAUAUUUUGUAUGGAAUUAUUAUUUUAGUUUGGACAAUAGUUGGUUUGUAUGAACUUUGACAUUUAAAGUCAUUCAUUUUUUGUAUAUGGAUGCAGAUU